GGGUUGUGAGGUUAAGCGACUAAGCGUACACGGUGGAUGCCCUGGCAGUCAGAGGCGAUGAAGGACGUGCUAAUCUGCGAUAAGCGCCGGUAAGGUGAUAUGAACCGUUAUAACCGGCGAUUUCCGAAUGGGGAAACCCAGUGUGAUUCGUCACACUAUCAUUAACUGAAUCCAUAGGUUAAUGAGGCGAACCGGGGGAACUGAAACAUCUAAGUACCCCGAGGAAAAGAAAUCAACCGAGAUUCCCCCAGUAGCGGCGAGCGAACGGGGAGGAGCCCAGAGCCUGAAUCAGCAUGUGUGUUAGUGGAAGCGUCUGGAAAGGCGCGCGAUACAGGGUGACAGCCCCGUACACAAAAGCGCAUAUGCUGUGAGCUCGAUGAGUAGGGCGGGACACGUGGUAUCCUGUCUGAAUAUGGGGGGACCAUCCUCCAAGGCUAAAUACUCCUGACUGACCGAUAGUGAACCAGUACCGUGAGGGAAAGGCGAAAAGAACCCCGGCGAGGGGAGUGAAAAAGAACCUGAAACCGUGUACGUACAAGCAGUGGGAGCACAGGUUUACCUGUGUGACUGCGUACCUUUUGUAUAAUGGGUCAGCGACUUAUAUUCUGUAGCAAGGUUAACCGUAUAGGGGAGCCGUAGGGAAACCGAGU
This 650-nucleotide ribosomal RNA is filed under the name Salmonella enterica subsp. enterica serovar Hvittingfoss. Its description in RNAcentral is "partial 23S ribosomal RNA". It matches the Rfam family "Bacterial large subunit ribosomal RNA", at positions 1 to 682 of the family's 2925-position model. The record is from RNAcentral. Lineage: Bacteria; Pseudomonadati; Pseudomonadota; Gammaproteobacteria; Enterobacterales; Enterobacteriaceae.